GACAGAGGAUGCAAGCGUUAUCCGGAAUGAUUGGGCGUAAAGCGUCUGUAGGUGGCUUUUUAAGUCCGCCGUCAAAAUCCCAGGGGCUCACCCCUGGACAGGCGGUGAAAACUACCAAGCUGGAGUACGGGUAGGGCAGAGGGAAAUUUCCGGGUGGGAGCGGGUGAAAUGCGUAGAGAUCGAAAGAAACACCAAACGGGCGAAAGCAACUCUGCUGGCCCGACACUGACACUUUGAGAGACGAAAGCUAGGGAGCGAAAUGGGAAAUU
This 269-nucleotide ribosomal RNA is filed under the name uncultured bacterium. Its description in RNAcentral is "partial 16S ribosomal RNA". It matches the Rfam family "Bacterial small subunit ribosomal RNA", at positions 524 to 781 of the family's 1533-position model. The record is from RNAcentral.